GGGGGCGGGGCUAAUGCAGUCGAGCGGACAGAUGGGAGCUUGCUCCCUGAUGUUAGCGGCGGACGGGUGAGUAACACGUGGGUAACCUGCCUGUAAGACUGGGAUAACUCCGGGAAACCGGGGCUAAUACCGGAUGGUUGUUUGAACCGCAUGGUUCAGACAUAAAAGGUGGCUUCGGCUACCACUUACAGAUGGACCCGCGGCGCAUUAGCUAGUUGGUGAGGUAACGGCUCACCAAGGCGACGAUGCGUAGCCGACCUGAGAGGGUGAUCGGCCACACUGGGACUGAGACACGGCCCAGACUCCUACGGGAGGCAGCAGUAGGGAAUCUUCCGCAAUGGACGAAAGUCUGACGGAGCAACGCCGCGUGAGUGAUGAAGGUUUUCGGAUCGUAAAGCUCUGUUGUUAGGGAAGAACAAGUGCCGUUCAAAUAGGGCGGCACCUUGACGGUACCUAACCAGAAAGCCACGGCUAACUACGUGCCAGCAGCCGCGGUAAUACGUAGGUGGCAAGCGUUGUCCGGAAUUAUUGGGCGUAAAGGGCUCGCAGGCGGUUUCUUAAGUCUGAUGUGAAAGCCCCCGGCUCAACCGGGGAGGGUCAUUGGAAACUGGGGAACUUGAGUGCAGAAGAGGAGAGUGGAAUUCCACGUGUAGCGGUGAAAUGCGUAGAGAUGUGGAGGAACACCAGUGGCGAAGGCGACUCUCUGGUCUGUAACUGACGCUGAGGAGCGAAAGCGUGGGGAGCGAACAGGAUUAGAUACCCUGGUAGUCCACGCCGUAAACGAUGAGUGCUAAGUGUUAGGGGGUUUCCGCCCCUUAGUGCUGCAGCUAACGCAUUAAGCACUCCGCCUGGGGAGUACGGUCGCAAGACUGAAACUCAAAGGAAUUGACGGGGGCCCGCACAAGCGGU
Molecule: ribosomal RNA, 909 nt
Filed under: Bacillus sp. (in: firmicutes)
Lineage: Bacteria; Bacillati; Bacillota; Bacilli; Caryophanales; Bacillaceae
Description: bacterial SSU rRNA
Rfam family: Bacterial small subunit ribosomal RNA
Source: RNAcentral